Molecule: ribosomal RNA, 467 nt
Filed under: uncultured bacterium
Lineage: Bacteria
Description: partial 16S ribosomal RNA
Rfam family: Bacterial small subunit ribosomal RNA
Source: RNAcentral
GACGAACGCUGGCGGCGUGCUUAACACAUGCAAGUCGAACGGAAAGGCCUCUUUCGGGGGGUACUCGAGUGGCGAACGGGUGAGUAACACGUGAGUAACCUGCCCUUGACUUUGGGAUAACUUCAGGAAACUGGGGCUAAUACCGGAUAGGAGCUCCUGCUGCAUGGUGGGGGGUGGAAAGUUUCGGGGGUUGGGGAUGGACUCGCGGCUUAUCCGCUUGUUGGUGGGGUAGUGGCUUACCAAGGCUUUGACGGGUAGCCGGCCUGAGAGGGUGACCGGCCACAUUGGGACUGAGAGACGGCCCAGACUCCUACGGGAGGCAGCAGUGGGGAAUAUUGCACAAUGGGUGGAAGCCUGAUGCAGCAACGCCGUGUGCGGGAUGACGGCCUUCGGGUUGUAAACCGCUUUCGCUCAUGACGAAGCUUUGUGUGACGGUAGUGGGUAAAGAAGCACCGGCUAACUACGUG